RNAcentral lists this ribosomal RNA (235 nucleotides) under uncultured bacterium. RNAcentral's name for it is "partial 16S ribosomal RNA". It matches the Rfam family "Bacterial small subunit ribosomal RNA", at positions 99 to 334 of the family's 1533-position model. The record is from RNAcentral.
CGGACGGGUGAGUAACACGUAUCCAACCUGCCGUCUACUCUUGGACAGCCUUCUGAAAGGAAGAUUAAUACAAGAUGGCAUCAUGAGUCCGCAUGUUCACAUGAUUAAAGGUAUUCCGGUAGACGAUGGGGAUGCGUUCCAUUAGAUAGUAGGCGGGGUAACGGCCCACCUAGUCUUCGAUGGAUAGGGGUUCUGAGAGGAAGGUCCCCCACAUUGGAACUGAGACACGGUCCAA